RNAcentral lists this microRNA precursor (54 nucleotides) under Echinops telfairi (small Madagascar hedgehog). Lineage: Eukaryota; Metazoa; Chordata; Mammalia; Afrosoricida; Tenrecidae. The record is from RNAcentral.
GGUUGAUCAGAGAGCAUACAUUUUACAAACGAUGUAUAUCAACUGAUCCACAGU